RNAcentral lists this ribosomal RNA (179 nucleotides) under uncultured bacterium. RNAcentral's name for it is "partial 16S ribosomal RNA". It matches the Rfam family "Bacterial small subunit ribosomal RNA", at positions 1314 to 1500 of the family's 1533-position model. The record is from RNAcentral.
GACUCCAUGAAGCUGGAUUCGCUAGUAAUCGCGCAUCAGCCACGGCGCGGUGAAUACGUUCCCGGGCCUUGUACACACCGCCCGUCAAGCCAUGGAAGCCGGGAGUGCCUGAAGUGUGCAACCGCAAGGAGCGCCCUAAGGUAAAACCGGUGACUGGGGCUAAGUCGUAACAAGGUACC